GGGGACGUAGCUCAGCUGGGAGAGCGCAACGCUGGCAGUGUUGAGGUCGUCAGUUCGAUCCUGAUCGUCUCCACCA
Molecule: transfer RNA, 76 nt
Filed under: Bdellovibrio bacteriovorus
Lineage: Bacteria; Pseudomonadati; Bdellovibrionota; Bdellovibrionia; Bdellovibrionales; Pseudobdellovibrionaceae
Also listed under: 1 other name
Description: tRNA-Ala
Rfam family: tRNA
About the family: Transfer RNA (tRNA) molecules are approximately 80 nucleotides in length. Their secondary structure includes four short double-helical elements and three loops (D, anti-codon, and T loops).
Source: RNAcentral